RNAcentral lists this long non-coding RNA (301 nucleotides) under Gossypium raimondii (Peruvian cotton). Its description in RNAcentral is "long non-coding RNA (GRAI_LNC002662)". Lineage: Eukaryota; Viridiplantae; Streptophyta; Magnoliopsida; Malvales; Malvaceae. The record is from RNAcentral.
AUAAGUGGAGUGUUGGUGUGAAGGACGUCCUUUGUUUGAAUCUUGGCGUGGGCAUUAUUUUUGCUUGUGCGUCCAUGAGAGUUUGAAAUGGACUAAAAAUCUGAGUAGUGGAUUUAGUGGGGAGUUCGAUGGAGAGAAAUAAGAGAUUCGGGUGGUUAUCAAAUAUUUUGUUUUUCUUUUUUUUUACUUUCCCCAAAAUCCCUCUACCCUCUUGCCGUUUUCUCUUCAUUGCUACUGAAUUUCUGCUCUCUUUCACCCUUCAUCUUCUUGAUUUUUCUUUUCCCACUUUGCCUCGUGUUGC